GUUUUUACGAUAAUAUGUAAAGUUUGGCCUGCCCACUGAAAUUUUUAAAGGGCCGCGGUAAUUUGACCGUGCGAAGGUAGCAUAAUCAAUAGUCUUUUAAUUGAAGGCUGGAAUGAAUGGUUGGACAAGAAGCAUUCUGUCUCGUUUAUAAGAAUUGAAUUUAACUUUUAAGUGAAAAGGCUUAGUUGAUUUAAGGGGACGAUAAGACCCUAUAAAACUUUAUAUUAAUAUGUUAGUUUUUGAAUUUAAGUUUAAAGUAUACUAGUAUUAGGAAUAUUGUGUUGGGGCGACAAGAAUAUAAUUGUAACUGUUUGUUAAUUGAAAUAGAUGUUUUUAGAGAGUUUUGAUCCUUUAGUAGGGAUUAUAAGAAUAAGUUACUUUAGGGAUAACAGCGUUAUUUUUUCUGAGAGUUCUUAUCGACGAAAGUAGUUGCGACCUCGAUGUUGAAUUAAAGUUUCAGUGGGGUGUAGAAGUUCCGCGGGUAGGUCUGUUCGACCUUAAAAACUUUACAUGAUUUGAGUUCAAACCGGUGUGAG
Molecule: ribosomal RNA, 536 nt
Filed under: Oplophorus gracilirostris
Lineage: Eukaryota; Metazoa; Arthropoda; Malacostraca; Decapoda; Oplophoridae
Description: partial 16S ribosomal RNA
Rfam family: Bacterial large subunit ribosomal RNA
Source: RNAcentral